CAGUGCAUCUGGACUUGGUUCAAGUGGCACCAGCCAAAUCCCUGCCUUACUGACCUCUCCCCUGGAGGAGCAGGAGCAGCGCUCAAGGCCGCCCUGGGAGGGCUGAGAGGCAGGCUCUGGACUGGGGACACAGGGAUAGCUGAGCCCCAGCUGGGGGUGGAAGCUGAGCCAGGGACAGUCACAGAGGAACAAGAUCAAGAUGCGCUUUAACUGAGAAGCCCCCAAGGCAGAGGCUGAGAAUCAGAAGACAUUUCAGCAGACAUCUACAAAUCUGAAGGACAAAACAUGGUUCAAGCAUCUGGGCACAGGCGCAAAGAUCCAGGAAAUAUGAUGCGAGGAAGAUGAGAGGAAGAUGGCGCGAGAGUUCCUGGCCGAGUUCAUGAGCACAUAUGUCAUGAUGGUGAGUGGGCGGGCAGCACGAAGUGGGUGGGCUCUGCCAGGGCCUUCCAUGACCCCCUCCCCAUUCUGACCCCAUGGGUCACAUUGUCCAUUCCUUGCCUCUGAGCUGGGAGCCUGGGGAAGCAGCGAGGAAAGUAAGGGG
Molecule: long non-coding RNA, 541 nt
Filed under: Homo sapiens (human)
Lineage: Eukaryota; Metazoa; Chordata; Mammalia; Primates; Hominidae
Description: HSALNT0352444
Source: RNAcentral